AUACGUAGGUGGCAAGCGUUGUCCGGAUUUACUGGGUGUAAAGGGCGUGUAGGCGGAGAUGCAAGUCAGGAGUGAAAUCUAGGGGCUCAACCCCUAAACUGCUUUUGAAACUGUAUCCCUUGAGUAUCGGAGAGGCAGGCGGAAUUCCUAGUGUAGCGGUGAAAUGCGUAGAUAUUAGGAGGAACACCAGUGGCGAAGGCGGCCUGCUGGACGACAACUGACGCUGAGGCGCGAAAGCGUGGGGAGCAAUCAGGAUUAGAUACCCUGGUAGUCCACGCUGUAAACGAUGAAUACUAGGUGUGGGGGGACUGACCCCCUCCGUGCCGCAGUUAACACAAUAAGUAUUCCACCUGGGGAGUACGAUCGCAAGAUUGAAACUCAAAUGAAUUGACGGGG
RNAcentral lists this ribosomal RNA (396 nucleotides) under uncultured bacterium. RNAcentral describes it as "partial 16S ribosomal RNA". It matches the Rfam family "Bacterial small subunit ribosomal RNA", at positions 523 to 918 of the family's 1533-position model. The record is from RNAcentral.